Long non-coding RNA from Sparus aurata (gilthead seabream), 3037 nucleotides. The record is from Ensembl. NCBI's taxonomy places the organism in Eukaryota, Metazoa, Chordata, Actinopteri, Spariformes, Sparidae.
AUGGCGAGCCCCGUCGAUGUGAACGCGGUGGAUAAAGUGUUGGAAGAAAUGCUGAAGGUGGAAGCGGACAAUGCCCAGAGGCCAGGCUCAAUCCAGUGGGCUUCGCGCAUCCAGAUGCUGCUGGGGUGGAAGCACGACAUAGCAGAGAAACAACAUGGUAUUGGACGCUUUCUGGAUCAUAUCCUGACAGAUUCAGAGUCAGAUGCUGAGCUCCUCGACUGUUAUCACGCAAAGGAGAAUCCAGUUAAACUGAUGUACAAAGUCAUCGAUCGCUGCCUCGAGAGCGAGGAAAGCGCACUGAAAUUCCUACGGGUCUUUUUUCAGAUGCAGACAUUGCUCUACUUGGACCUGCUAAAAGACGGAUCCAGGGGCAAGUUUGUCAGGAGAGAUCCUCCCGUGGUGGAAUUGACGGAGAAGGUGCGUUCUGCGCUCGGCGAUAAGGUCGAGCAUCUCAAAAACGUGACGGCGACACCCCUUUACAAGAACAGGAUCCUGAAUGUCAAAUGCGCCCUGGACGUACUGAUGACACACAAUCAGCUGCUUCCAGAGGAAUACGCCGAGUUUGGGGUAAACAAGCGCAGUACCACCGCUAUGAUUCGGCUACUGCAGAAACUGUGCAGCGACGCCGCCAUCCCUCGAGCCAACCAGGAGUUCAUCUCAUUGGUGGUGGCCUCCUUUAACCUGCACGUCUUUGACCUUCCGACGAUGCCUCUGAAUGAUGUGCUAGUGUUUGUAAAGUAGAAAUAAAAAACUUAAAAUGUUACUGUGCCAAUUUACAUGCCAUGUCGAUUGUGUGUUACCAAUGAAAUAAUAAAACUAUAUUGAACUAAAGAAACUGGUUGUUGACUGCUGGGAUUACAUUGUGUCAGAAAUCCACAUCCAUCUCCAUCCGUUUUCGCGUAACAGCACAAGGUUGCCAAAAGUGAAAUGUUACUGUGUCACUCUACAUGUCAUGUCAAUGUGUGUUAUAAAAUGAAAUGAAAUAAAAAAAAACUCUUGAACCAAACAAAACUGGUUGUUGACUGCUGGGAUUACAUUGUGUCAGAAAUCCACAUCCAUCUCCAUCCGUUUUCGCAUAACAGCACAAGGUUGCCAAAAGUGAAAUGUUACUGUGUCACUCUUCAUGUCAUGUCAAUGUGUGUUAUAAAAUGAAAUGAAAUUAAAAAAAAAAAAACUAUACUGAACUAAAGAAACUGGUUGUUGACUGCCGGGAUCACAUUGUGUCAGAAAUCCACAUCCAUCUCCAUCCGUUUUCGCAUAACAGCACAAGGUUGCCAAAAGUGAAAUGUUACUGUGUCACUCUACAUGUCAUGUCAAUGUGUGUUAUAAAAUGAAAUGAAAUAAAAAAAAACUCUUGAACUAAAAAAACUGGUUGACUGCCGGGAUCACAUUGUGUCAGAAAUCCACAUCCAUCUCCAUCCGUUUUCGCGUAACAGCGCAAGGUUGCCCAAAGUGAAAUGUUACUGUGUCAAUCUACAUGUCAUGUCAAUGUGUGAAACUGGUUGUUGACUGCUGGGAUUACAUUGUGUCAGAAAUCCACAUCCAUCUCCAUCCGUUUUCGCGUAACAGCACAAGGUUGCCAAAAGUGAAAUGUUACUGUGUCACUCUACAUGUCAUGUCAAUGUGUGUUAUAAAAUGAAAUGAAAUUAAAAAAAACUCUAGAACUAAAAAAACUGGUUGUUGACUGCUGGGAUUACAUUGUGUCAGAAAUCCACAUCCAUCUCCAUCCGUUUUCGCAUAACAGCACAAGGUUGCCAAUGGUGAAAGGCGCAGCACAGGCUGUAAAAACAAAACAAAACAAGACAAAACCCAACAAAAACCCAACCAAACAUGUCAGAUGACAUUUAGACUCAUUUCCCUGUCCCCUGCGUAACAGCACAGUCUUGCCAAUGCCAACAGUACAGCACAGGUUGGAUAAUAUCGCGUCACAUGCGUAUAGAAAUACAAGUAGACUGCGGAGCUGCAACAGCUUUCCAUUUAUUCACAACCCUCUGUGUCUCUCUCUCUCUCUCUCUCUGUGUCUCUCUCUCUCUGUGUGUAUCUCUCCCUCUCUCUGUCUCUCUCUCUCUCUCUCGCGCUCUUUCUGUGUACUAAAAGCCUGCGUGCUACACACAAGUGACCUGUGACCAUGGCGAGCCCCGUCGAUGUGAACGCGGUGGACAAAGUGUUGAAAGAAAUGCUAAAGGCGGAAGCCGACAUAGCCCGGAGCCCAGGCUCAAUCAAGUGGACUUCGCGCAUCCAGAUGUUGCAGACGUGCAAGCCUGACAUAGCAGAUAGACACAGCGACAUGAGCAGUUAUGUGACUCGUUUACGGACAGGAGAUUCGGAUAAUGAUCUCCUCAGAUCUUAUCACUGCAAGAUCAAUCAGGUUGAGAUGAUGCCCAAACUCAUCGAUUGCUACCUCGAGAGCGAGGAAAGCGCAAUGAAAUUCCUACGGGUCGCUUUUCAGGUGGAUAGAUACAUGUAUUUAGACCUGCUAGAAUGCGGAUCCCAGGGGGAGCCUGGUGAGUAUGUGCUAUACUGAGCAAAUUGAUCAAGGCUGCUGCUGCUGCUGCUGCUGCUGCUCAACUGAAGUCAUAUAUAUUUUCUGCACGUGUUUCUUUGUAUUGUUUCGUUUCAGUCAGGAGAGAUCCUCCCGUGGUGGAAUUGACGGAGAAGGUGCGUUCUGCGCUCGGCGAUAAGGUCUCGCAUCUCAAAAACGUGGCGACGACACCCCUUUACAAGAACAGGAUCCUUCAUUUCGACUGCGCCCUGGACCUACUGAUGCAAUACAAGCAGCUGCUUCGAAGGGAAUGUGCCGACUUUUGGAUGAACGAGGACGAUACCGCCGCUAUGACUCGGAUACUGCAGGAACUGUGCAGCGACGCUACCAUCCCUCAAGCCAACCGGGAGUUCAUCUCAUUGGUGGUGGCCUCCUUUAACAUGCACGCCUUUGACCUUCCAGAGAUGUCUGGGGAAGAUGUGCUAGUGUUUGUAAAGUAAAAUGACAAUAAAAAAAAACAAAAAACAAAAACAAAUGUCAAACUGUGUCAAUCUA